AUGAUUUAUGAUCAUGUUUAUGUUUCAGGAGUAAAUAUUCCGUCCGACCUGAAACUGUUUCCAGCGGUUGGAGUAACAUGUCUGCUGUUCAGCGUCUCAGAGAGUUUAUCACCGAGGAGGAGGAGGACAUGUUGGAGUCUGAGGAAGACUCUGGUGAUGAGGAGCCUCACAGAGCAGCCUGUCUGUGAGGAGGAGGAGGAGGUUCUCCCUGAGCAGCAGCUCUGGGACCAGGAGAGGAGCUCCAGUCUGGAGCAGGAGGAACCAGAACCUCCACAGAUUAAAGAGGAACAGGAGGAACUGUGCAGCAGUCAGGAGGGAGAGCAGCUGGGACUGAAGGAGGAGACGGAUACCUUUAUGGAGUUUGAGUGCAGCGCCGGUAUUGAUGAACACACAGACGUCCCACAGCAGCAUGUCUGUGAGGAGGAGGAAAUCCUCACUGACCAGGAGAGGAGCUCCAGUGUGGAGCAGGAGGAACCAGAACCUCCACAGAUUAAAGAGGAACAGGAGGAACUGUGCAGCAGUCAGGAGGGAGAGCAGCUGGGACUGAAGGAGGAGACUGAUACCUUUAUGGUGACUACUGCUGAGGAAGGAGAGCACAGUGAACCAGGAGGAGACGGGGAGCAGCUCCUCUGUCACAGAUCUGCUGUAGCUGAGAGUCAGCAUCUGGAAGGAGGCAGGAGUGCAGACUCAGGACGUCUGAAAUUAGGAACAGAAGUGACAGCAGGAGGUUCCCCUACAUCAGAGAGUCGGUGUAACUCUGACAUGGGUAAAAAGCCUGUAAACUGUGAUAGUUGUGGGAAGGACAGAAUCCACACAGGUGAAGAGUGUGGGAAAAACUUCAGUUCUCGCUCUAACCUGAGCGUCCAUGUGAGAGCCCACACAGGCGAGAAGCCGGAUUCAUGUGAAACACGGAAAAAGGAGAAAUCCAUGUGAAAGGUGGACUGUUUCCAUGGCAACUUUCUGUCUGUCCUAGCCAAAGAUGCUCGUACAACCGAAACUCUCAAACUCAAGAACAGUUAAGAGAUGGGAGCGGUAUUCUGUGAAACAGAGUAAAGGUUUCAUUUAAAGCAGUGAAACAGGAAAAGCUGCCUGAGGUUUAAGUGAAGCUGCGCUUUCAGCAGUCACGUCUCUGUGCAGAUUAUUCAUAAACACAGUCUGAUUUUAUCUGUCUUUGCAUCCUUUUUUAUUUAUUUUAUGCUUCAAAUUGUGUAAUAAACAAAAUCUGAUGAUAUUUGUCUUUGAAUGUGACUAAACCUAAAACUACAGCUGCCUUCUAACUGUGCUGUUUCCACAUCAGGACAGAAUUAAUAACACUCAAUGUCCCAGGUGCUGUUAAACAGAGCAGAGAGCUUUAACAAACAUCCUGCUUUUAUUUUGGAUGCUUGUAAUUUGAUGGAUGGAAGGUGGGGGGGAGGUCCUUAUCUACACAGUGAUGGUAACUGUUCUGACCAUUAGAGAAAUCAUCAUGUAAAUGAAACUCUGUAAAGCACCGGUAAAAAUGAAUAAAUAAAAGUAUGCUGAUAUUGGAACAGUCAGCUCGUAGCUCUCACAAAGAGUAGAUGGCUCCUGCCUGAGUGCUGAUGCAGCAGAGGGGAAGCAGGUCACCCCUCCCUCCCUCACCUCCAGCUGUUUUCCUCCCAGACUGAAAGAAACCAGUUCAGCAGCUGUCUGCAGCCCAGAUGUUUCCUCUGUUUGUAGUGUAUGUGUAUAUUAAACUGUUUCCUGCGUGGGUCUAGUGUCACUGCUUUGUUCAUAAUGGCCUCUCUUAGUGAACUUGAACGUGGAUGUUUUAUAUUCUCUGUACAGCUUCACUAAGGUCCUGAAUAUUUAAACCUUUAUUUUGAAAAGAAAUACUUUUUUUUAUAUAUUUAUUUUUUACUUUAUUUGAAAUUAUAAUUUGAACAGUCAGUCAUUCCAGUUCAGUUUGUACAGUAGACAUACAGGGCAAAUAAAAGUAACAAUAUACAGUACAAUGAAAUAAGAAGGAUAAAUAAAUAAAGGAUAAAAAAAAGAGAGGGAUGUGACAGACGUCAUAACAACUUUGUACUUGAAAGUUGUAUCUGUGACAGCUUAUUCGUUAAACAUUUCUGAAUGAAUUUCAAUCAAUGAUAAACCUUUUUUAUUGGAAGUUAAUUUAAGAGAGUUUAAGUAAUAUUCAAUUUCAAUCAAAAACAAAUUAAAUGAUGGGGUUGAGUUUUGAAAUUUACAUUUAUGUAUAUGGAAUUUCCCUAAUAAGACAUAAAGAUUGACAAUGGCACAUAUUUUUUUUCUUUAGUUUCAAAAUAAGUGAUAAUGUUCUUCCCUUCAAUUUUGAUUUCGUAUUUUGAAAAGAAAUAACAAACCUGACGUCAUCAUUCUUUCUUACUGCUCUGUUCUUUGUUUUUAUCUCAUCUUUUAUUUUCUGCUCAGAGCUCGAAGCAGUUAACGGUCUCCGGAGGGCAGCGCCGCGUCAUAUCCGGUAGAAGCACCGGCGAAAUGCUUGGCCUGAACCGGAAGUGUGUUGUGUUGUUGUGUGUGAGCUGAGUGUGUGAGCCGAGUGUGUGAGCUAGUGAUGGGUAGAUGAGGCCUCGUGAAGCGUUUCAGCACAUUCCCCAAACUGUGUCGACACAAUGUUGCUGUUUUGCUCCAUACUGACACCUGCUGGACCUUAAAUAUCAUUGCAGGCAACUUACUUGAGACUCGCAACAGACACUGAUUCAAUGACCUAGUCAUACGUGUAUACACUGUAAGGUAUUGUACUUUCCAUGGAAUCAUUUUAUAUCUUUUAUAUUACAAAUAUUGUAGACAUCUUUAAAAUAUAUUGUGAAUGACAUUAAGUGAAAAUUAAAAUUAAAGUAUUGUGAAUGUAAUAUUACCCAUUUGACUCAGAGUUUAUUAUAAAUUUCUAUUCAGAAAAAUAAGUUUAUCCAAUGUUUUUGCAUUCAGUCUAUUGCGGGGGGUUUUUUGACACCAUUUCCCCAGCUUUGGAAAACAUACAGGCACAGAUGAAGCUGGGGUACACAAACUGUAAAGCCAGGUGGAAAAGGUUCAGAUAAGAUGUCUUCCUAUUCCCCCAGUACGUUAAAGGAUCCUCUGAUCUUGGAAUGUUUCUCUCCGACACUCUCCACAAUACUAAGGGGUUGGCAGUCCUUUAUAAUAAAAUUCAGGACUGCCUGGUCCAGAACAGUCUUCCUAGAUGCUUGAUUUGAAAAUAAUAAAACACACAUUAAUAAAAAAAAAAAAUGAUGAUAAAGCUGUUCAGUGUCUAUAUAGGCCUACCAGUGUUCAUUCUCGGUGUGUUUGUCUCCUCAUUUUCAUGUUUGGCUCUGUAAUGCCUAAACACGGAGGAGGUGCUUUUGUUUGUGUAAGAAACGCAGACCAGAUGCGACAUUUAACCUGCAUAAAAUGAAAUAAAUAAUUUACACUUCAAGUCACAUUGCUGUUUUUCCUAUUCUGAUAGAUUACACUGAAACAAAGACAGACAAACAGUUACCUUAUUUGCAGUGAAAAGAUCAAAAUGAUCCCGCACAGCAGAAACAUUUCUUUUUCUUUCAGGCUCCAUUUUGUUUUUGGAGAGAUGUGUAUUUUUUUUUUUUUUUAAAUCUUUGCGAGAGUAAUUUUGUGUGUUUUUUGGUGGCGACUCAUUCCGUUGGCAGAUGCGGAUGCGGUACCUUUUAAACACAGUUUGGAGCGUUGGCAAUGAGCGAUACAGCAGCUGUAUCGAUCACGUGACUUUUUCUUAAAGCGACGCACGCACCGAUACAGGCAUCGCUAGGUGAGCUUGAUACAAGCGUCGGUGCGUCAGUGUUGCAGGACCCAUCACUAGUGUGAGCUGUGGCAGUAACAAUGGCUUCAGUUCAGUAUCUGAGAGAGUUUAUCAACGAGCGACUAACUGCUGCUGCUGAACAAAUAUUCUUGGAGUUUGAAAAAACGAUCGUCCAGUACGAGGAAGAGAUCGACCGUCAGCGCAGACUGCUGGAUAUCACCUGGAAACCCCAAAUCAAGCUGCACAGGACAGGUGAGUGUCCCUCUGAGGGAGGAUCCUAAUCACAGCUCUGCGGGACAUUUAUGAUUGUGAGGACUUUUUGGAGAUGUGAGCUAACAAAGAGCAAACAGAGGACAGGACUGCACUGUGCUCCAUUCAAACAGCAGGCGGUGGAUUUGAGGCUUUUCUCUGACCUGGAUCACUCAAUCAGUUUCUUUAUGUUUGCUGUCAAAGUUGGAAAACAUCGAAAAUCGAUGUUCAGAGUAGAUUAUUUAUUCCAGAUGGAUUUUAUACAUAUAAAUAUAACGUUUAUAUAAAUGUAUGUUUCCUGUUGCACUUGUGAAAGUUACAAACAAAUGUUGGAAACAUAAAGUCGCUGUGCAAUAAUAAAAUAUCUAAUGUGACUGAUCUACAGGCUGUUGCUCGUCCUCAGCGCUGUGAUCUGCUGCUGUGCUGAGGACUGUUUGAAACCAGUUCCACUUUAUCUUAAUGUAAACACACCUGUUCUGUCUGUGUGUGAAUCAGCAGCUUUUUGUGGUGCUGCAGGGGUUUGUGUACCUGUACCAGGCCCUAUCCUGGAGCCGGGCCUGGAGUGAGUGUCUGGGGGGCCACAGCCCAUAAAAAGCUGCAUGAGGGGCUUUAGGGGUUCUGUUCUUUGAGCCUCGAGCAGUUUAAUCUCUGACCAGUCUGACCACAUAGGUGAGGAAAGUCACUUCUCUGGUGGACGAGCGAUACCAGCAUGAUGUAGUCGGGUUUGCCAAAACACACAGCUCGUGUUAUAAAACGAGUCAGCUGGAGACGGGCUGCACUCUGGUCUGGAUUUGCCUUCUGUGAGCCGGGCACUCGUAUCCCCUCUGUGGGUGUUUCCACAGGAAAAAGUGAGGAUUCAGAGGUGCUCCUGCAGGAGGACGGGGUGGACCCACCCUGGCCGUUUCCUGUC
Oreochromis niloticus (Nile tilapia) is the source of this 4904-nucleotide long non-coding RNA. The record is from Ensembl. NCBI's taxonomy places the organism in Eukaryota, Metazoa, Chordata, Actinopteri, Cichliformes, Cichlidae.